This 3442-nucleotide long non-coding RNA is filed under the name Rattus norvegicus (Norway rat). RNAcentral's name for it is "long non-coding RNA NONRATT023866". Lineage: Eukaryota; Metazoa; Chordata; Mammalia; Rodentia; Muridae. The record is from RNAcentral.
AGAGGGACCUUUGAGAUCAACCUAGAACAGCAGCUGCUGCUGGCCCUUGAAGGCUCAGGCUGCUGCAGGAGACUGGUCAGUUGCAAGGGUGAGAGUUACAGCUUCUCACAUCAGGGUCCUGCAAACUUGUCUCCCCACUGGGAAGGAGCCUUUUGUCUAGGAGUUUCCCAACCCUGCCUAUCCUCUGGCAUUACUGUUUGGAAUUAUGUGAUGUCAUGAGCAGAUUUCCCACAAGAGGGACUGGGGAGUGUUUGACUUUCUGGUGAUCGACUGGACCCUGUUGCUUUGAGAGUGCAGGAGUGAUUGUUGCAGCUCCCUUUGGUCAGAGACUUGUGGCUUCAGCGGAAACGUUGAAGUCUCCAUCUGAGCCCAGUGGCCAUUCACAGUAAUACUUGUCUCCAUAUAAGCAAACAUGGCGUUGUUUUCUGGAUGCCAGAACUGACCAGUACCUAUCACCUAACAAAUCAGAAGACAUUUAGGGUCAAAAAAGAUUGUCCCCAACUGCCCUGUACUUUGCUGUUGGAUCGUGACAUGCCCCUGCCCCCAUGUCCCUGUGUGGUUUGGAAAUACUCCCUUAGGAAGAAUUCACUGCUGCCAGUUUCUGUGGCUUCUAACAAGCCAGGUCUCUGGGUUCAAGAGGUCAUCAUAGAGAACAAGGCUCUUCCUCCACCUGCCAGUAAGUGUUGAGGACUGAGUGGGGCACAGAAUGCCCGCCGGAGUUACUUCAGUUGCUGUGCCAGUGACCUGGGGCCCAUUCACGCUGCCCUUUACUGGUCAGCAUCACUCACCCACCCAGGAAGGCAUCUGCUCACCUCCACUCGGGAAGGCUCCUGGCCAACCUGUUCAUCUCCACUGCAGAGUAGCCACUAGGGGGCGAGCGUGCAGACCCUUGCUUCAGACCUCAGCGGGCUUCUCUCUGAAGAACAGGACUCCCAGCUCCUUUUGUUACAGUUGCCUUGCAAAGAAAAGGAAAAGUGGACCAUGGAGAAAAGAAAGGGCAGAAGUCAGACUGUUCUUAUCUAAAAGAUGAUCACUCUGUUAGAUUUUUUAAAACUUUCUUUCUCUCCUUAAAGCAUAGGUUACUAACUGUAAUGUUACUUGUUCUCUAAGCAUAUAUAUAUAUGAGAUUUUAAUGUAGUUAGGAGUCUGUGUCUGAUGGACACAGCGUGUCCUUCUGGUGUAUGCUCAUUUGCAGGCUGUCUAUGCUGGUAGACAGUCUCCUGGACCAGAACCAAGUCUAUCAGGGAAACGAAGAGCAAAGGUCGCUUUUAAACUGAAUCACUGAUGUUGCUGCUGUUAGGAAGUUAGAUGGAAGGAUCCGUGUCUAUGACGCCUGAGGGAGGGUGACUUGUGUGACACACUAAACCCUGCGAUGGCUUGUGUUUUAACUCAAACAAAACUGGUUUAGAAAGUCUUUGCUUUGCAAAUAUCAAAUGUUAGCAUGAGCCAAACUGGACCGCUCCUCCAUCAGCUGCUCCCUGUAAGGAGGCCUCAUUAGGAAGCCAGGGAAAGUAAGGUUGGAGCAGUCACUGGGCCCUCCGUACUGUAAGGCCCACGAUUCGAUCAGAAUCUGAGCAUUUGGGGGCUUGAUGUUCUAGUUCCAUAAAGCUUCAAAGCUCUGAAGGAGAAAGGGUUUUAUGGCAGGACCUGAUCAUGAGAUGUUUGUGGUUGCUAUAGUAGCAGGAAAGUUACGACAACUAACCUUUAAGGAAACUAUUAAGAUAAUUUUUUUUUAAAUUUCAAAGCACUCAUUUAAACAAAAAACCUACAAGGAAAACAUAACAAAUUACAGAAAAGUGAGUGCUGAUUAAAACGAAUUAGCCUCCCCUUCCUUCACAUCUCUAUCCUCUUCCUCCCAAGCAGAUAAAGCCUCAUGACUGUCCCCGCCAGUGCUCAGGCCUUGCGGCUUCUGGGAGGCUACCCUGGGAGUCAGUCAGCUCUCAGGCCCAGACUGCAGGGGCCAGUCAGUCUCUGCACAAGGCUAGGCAGGAGCACGGGCCAGACUGCUUCUGAGCAGGCCCUGAACUCCAUCCAUAAAUGAGAAACUUGGUGAGGUGAGGCUGAAGGUUCCUCAACUAAGAAAACAUUAAUUUUUCCCUUCAGCUAUGUGGAAUUUGCAUAUCUAUUAAUUUUUCAAUUUUUUAAAAUUUUGGUUAGAUGAAGGAAUGAAUGAUUGUGAAAGGUGUUUGGGGUCUAAAAACAUGAUUUUUCCUGGUAUAUAUGUCAAAGCAUAGACUUUGUUAUCUGCUGCUUCCUGUCUAACUUACAGGGAUAUUUAAUUUUGUAAGGUAUUGUAUAUCUAUACAGCUGUAAUGAAUUGCACACUGGACUGAGAGGCAAAGUUCUGCCCUGUGUGGCUCCUGCUGGGACUCGUGCGCUUUCCUCUUGGGUGCUGUACGUUGGCUCUUCUGAACAAUACCAGGGGCACGUGGUCUGUUUAGUGUGCGUCUGUCACUCUUCAUUUGGGUUCCUUUUGGAAACUGUAGUCUUUAACUUGCUCUGUGAGGAGAAAGGAAUAAUUCUGUUGCUGCUCCUGGAAGGUCCGCCGAAUGCAUUUGAGCGAAACUGUGGCGCUGUGCACUGCAGCCAUCUGCCACAGCCUGUGCUCCACCAUGAGUAAGACCACAGCCAUGGAGCAAGGCAGAGUCGUCAGCUGGGGGACUGCUGCUGUCACUGUUCAAAAGGCCAUUUAUGAGCUCAAAAAAAAUAAAUCUUAAGAGCGCCCCUAAUUACUUAAAAAUGGAAAUUUAAGAAAUGUCUUUAAGACUUGAUACAGAGCUGGUGUUAAAUUCUCACAGCAGAGGUUAGGGGGUUGCUCAACGGUAGAGCACUUGGCAGUUCUAUGUGAUGCCUUCGGUUCAGUCACAGUCCUGCAGAUCAGAGAGCCUCACGGUAGACGGCCGCUCAGACAGACAGUCAGGCAGAGGCAGGUGCCAACCCUGGAUGUUGUCCGUCCAUUGUCAUGUCGUCAGUUGACCCUUCUCAUGCUGUCUAUUCAGGCAUCAGCUCACCUGAGGGAUCCACCAGCUUCCUCACGUCUAAGCAUUGUCGUAGACUUUGUGGCUCUGACAUACUUGUCUGUUGAGAGUCCAGUCUCUCGUCAUCCUCCCCAUGCUAUAACAGAAUCCAUGAAGCAUAAGUGGCCUUUUUGAACCAAGACUUUGCAAACUGAUCUCUCCCCAGGGAAGGAGUUGAGCACAAGCAACAAUGUACAUUAUUAAUUCUGGAUUCACUCUCAUGUUUUAUUUUGUAAAUAUUAAUGUUUGGAGCUUGAGUAUACAAAAUGUAAAUACAGUUCUUGUAUUUGUACUAACCCUGAUUCUUUUGCUGUAUAGCCCUGGAUGUGUAAUGCAGACAUUAUCUAACUGUGUGUGGUAACCUUGCAUCACAGAACUGCUAGUGAACGAGGUAAAAAUAAUAAAGGUACAACCAGUGCAUCGCA